Molecule: ribosomal RNA, 453 nt
Filed under: Sphingomonas sp.
Lineage: Bacteria; Pseudomonadati; Pseudomonadota; Alphaproteobacteria; Sphingomonadales; Sphingomonadaceae
Description: bacterial SSU rRNA
Rfam family: Bacterial small subunit ribosomal RNA
Source: RNAcentral
GAGUUUGAUCAUGGCUCAGAACGAACGCUGGCGGCAUGCCUAAUACAUGCAAGUCGAACGAACACUUCGGUGUUAGUGGCGCACGGGUGCGUAACGCGUGGGAAUCUACCCUUGGGUUCGGAAUAACAGUUGGAAACGACUGCUAAUACCGGAUGAUGACGAAAGUCCAAAGAUUUAUCGCCCAGGGAUGAGCCCGCGUAGGAUUAGCUAGUUGGUGAGGUAAAGGCUCACCAAGGCUACGAUCCUUAGCUGGUCUGAGAGGAUGAUCAGCCACACUGGGACUGAGACACGGCCCAGACUCCUACGGGAGGCAGCAGUAGGGAAUAUUGGACAAUGGGCGAAAGCCUGAUCCAGCAAUGCCGCGUGAGCGAUGAAGGCCUUAGGGUUGUAAAGCUCUUUUACCCGGGAUGAUAAUGACAGUACCGGGAGAAUAAGCCCCGGCUAACUCCGUGC